AAAAAAGAAAAAAAAGAACC
Molecule: microRNA, 20 nt
Filed under: Corchorus capsularis
Lineage: Eukaryota; Viridiplantae; Streptophyta; Magnoliopsida; Malvales; Malvaceae
Description: sRNA CCACVL1_09466
Source: RNAcentral